Molecule: ribosomal RNA, 483 nt
Filed under: uncultured bacterium
Lineage: Bacteria
Description: bacterial SSU rRNA
Rfam family: Bacterial small subunit ribosomal RNA
Source: RNAcentral
AGGGUUUGAUCAUGGCUCAGAUUGAACGCUGGCGGAAUGCUUUACACAUGCAAGUCGAACGAUGAAGCCUAGCUUGCUAGGUGAAUUAGUGGCGGACGGGUGAGUAAUAUAUCGGAACGUGUCCAUUAAUGGGGGAUAACUAAUCGAAAGGUUAGCUAAUACCGCAUACGCCCUGAGGGGGAAAGCUGGGGAUCUUCGGACCUAGCGUUAAUGGAGCGGCCGAUACCUGAUUAGCUAGUUGGUGGGGUAAAAGCCUACCAAGGCAACGAUCAGUAGCUGGUCUGAGAGGACGACCAGCCACACUGGGACUGAGACACGGCCCAGACUCCUACGGGAGGCAGCAGUGGGGAAUUUUGGACAAUGGGGGCAACCCUGAUCCAGCCAUUCCGCGUGAGUGAAGAAGGCCUUCGGGUUGUAAAGCUCUUUCGCAAGGGAAGAAACGAUAUAGGUUAAUAGCUUAUGUUAAUGACGGUACCUUGACAA